GGGGCUGUAUUUUAAGUUAAAAAUAUAUGUUUUGCAAGCAUACGAUUUGGGCUCUA
Molecule: transfer RNA, 56 nt
Filed under: Toxascaris leonina
Lineage: Eukaryota; Metazoa; Nematoda; Chromadorea; Rhabditida; Ascarididae
Description: tRNA-Ala
Source: RNAcentral